GGAGGGGUGGCAGAGUGGUCGAAUGCGGCGGUCUUGAAAACCGUUGAAGCGCGAGCUUCCGGGGGUUCGAAUCCCUCCCCCUCCGCCA
Molecule: transfer RNA, 88 nt
Filed under: Verrucomicrobia bacterium UBA6775
Lineage: Bacteria; Pseudomonadati; Verrucomicrobiota
Also listed under: 5 other names
Description: tRNA-Ser(tga)
Rfam family: tRNA
About the family: Transfer RNA (tRNA) molecules are approximately 80 nucleotides in length. Their secondary structure includes four short double-helical elements and three loops (D, anti-codon, and T loops).
Source: RNAcentral